UACACAAAAAUGCACAAGUUGUGAGUUCGAUGAGUAGGGCGGGACACGUGACAUCCUGUCUGAAUAUGGGGGGACCAUCCUCCAAGGCUAAAUACUCCUGACUGACCGAUAGUGAACCAGUACCGUGAGGGAAAGGCGAAAAGAACCCCGGCGAGGGGAGUGAAAUAGAACCUGAAACCGUGUACGUACAAGCAGUGGGAGCCUACUUGUUAGGUGACUGCGUACCUUUUGUAUAAUGGGUCAGCGACUUAUAUUCUGUAGCAAGGUUAACCGUAUAGGGGAGCCGCAGGGAAACCGAGUCUUAACUGGGCGUUAAGUUGCAGGGUAUAGACCCGAAACCCGGUGAUCUAGCCAUGGGCAGGUUGAAGGUUGGGUAACACUAACUGGAGGACCGAACCGACUAAUGUUGAAAAAUUAGCGGAUGACUUGUGGCUGGGGGUGAAAGGCCAAUCAAACCGGGAGAUAGCUGGUUCUCCCCGAAAGCUAUUUAGGUAGCGCCUCGUGAAUUCAUCUUCGGGGGUAGAGCACUGUUUCGGCUAGGGGGUCAUCCCGACUUACCAACCCGAUGCAAACUACGAAUACCGAAGAAUGUUAUCACGGGAGACACACGGCGGGUGCUAACGUUCGUCGUGAAGAGGGAAACAACCCAGACCGCCAGCUAAGGUCCCAAAGUCAUGGUUAAGUGGGAAACGAUGUGGGAAGGCAUAGACAGCCAGGAUGUUGGCUUAGAAGCAGCCAUCAUUUAAAGAAAGCGUAAUAGCUCACUGGUCGAGUCGGCCUGCGCGGAAGAUGUAACGGGGCUAAACCAUGCACCGAAGCUGCGGCAGCGACACGUAGUGUUGUUGGGUAGGGGAGCGUUCUGUAAGCCUGCGAAGGUGGCCUGUGAGGGCUGCUGGAGGUAUCAGAAGUGCGAAUGCUGACAUAAGUAACGAUAAUGCGGGUGAAAAACCCGCACGCCGGAAGACCAAGGGUUCCUGUCCAACGUUAAUCGGGGCAGGGUGAGUCGACCCCUAAGGCGAGGCUGAAAAGCGUAGUCGAUGGGAAACAGGUUAAUAUUCCUGUACUCGGUGUUACUGCGAAGGGGGGACGGAGAAAGCUAGGUUAUCCGGGCGACGGUUGUCCCGGUUUAAGCGUGAAGGUGGGUGGCUUUGGUAAAUCCGGGUCAUCGUUAACACUGAGGCGUGAUGACGAGUCACUACGGUGAUGAAGUAACCGAUGCUACGCUUCCAGGAAAAGCCUCUAAGCUCCAGGUAACAUCAAAUCGUACCCCAAACCGACACAGGUGGUCAGGUAGAGAAUACUCAGGCGCUUGAGAGAACUCGGGUGAAGGAACUAGGCAAAAUGGUGCCGUAACUUCGGGAGAAGGCACGCUGAUGGUAGGUGAAGUGACUUGCUCAUGGAGCUGAAAUCAGUCGAAGAUACCAGCUGGCUGCAACUGUUUAAUAAAAACACAGCACUGUGCAAACACGAAAGUGGACGUAUACGGUGUGACGCCUGCCCGGUGCCGGAAGGUUAAUUGAUGGGGUCAGCCGCAAGGCGAAGCUCUUGAUCGAAGCCCCGGUAAACGGCGGCCGUAACUAUAACGGUCCUAAGGUAGCGAAAUUCCUUGUCGGGUAAGUUCCGACCUGCACGAAUGGCGUAAUGAUGGCCAGGCUGUCUCCACCCGAGACUCAGUGAAAUUGAACUCGCUGUGAAGAUGCAGUGUACCCGCGGCAAGACGGAAAGACCCCGUGAACCUUUACUAUAGCUUGACACUGAACCUUGAGCCUUGAUGUGUAGGAUAGGUGGGAGGCUUUGAAGCGUGGACGCCAGUCUGCGUGGAGCCAACCUUGAAAUACCACCCUUUAAUGUUUGAUGUUCUAACGUGGACCCGUGAUCCGGGUUGCGGACAGUGUCUGGUGGGUAGUUUGACUGGGGCGGUCUCCUCCCAAAGCGUAACGGAGGAGCACGAAGGUUAGCUAAUCCUGGUCGGACAUCAGGAGGUUAGUGCAAAGGCAUAAGCUAGCUUGACUGCGAGAGUGACAGCUCGAGCAGGUGCGAAAGCAGGUCUUAGUGAUCCGGUGGUUCUGAAUGGAAGGGCCAUCGCUCAACGGAUAAAAGGUACUCCGGGGAUAACAGGCUGAUACCGCCCAAGAGUUCAUAUCGACGGCGGUGUUUGGCACCUCGAUGUCGGCUCAUCACAUCCUGGGGCUGAAGUAGGUCCCAAGGGUAUGGCUGUUCGCCAUUUAAAGUGGUACGCGAGCUGGGUUUAGAACGUCGUGAGACAGUUCGGUCCCUAUCUGCCGUGGGCGUUGGAAGAUUGAGAGGGGUUGCUCCUAGUACGAGAGGACCGGAGUGAACGCACCACUGGUGUACGGGUUGUGAUGCCAAUUGCAUUGCCCGGUAGCUAAGUGCGGAAGAGAUAACCGCUGAAAGCAUCUAAGCGGGAAACUUGCCUCGAGAUGAGUCUUCCCUGGGCACUAGAUGCCCCUGAAGGGCCGUUGAAGACGACGACGUAGAUAGGCUGGGUGUGUAAGCGUAGCGAUACGUUGAGCUAACCAGUACUAAUGACCCGAGAGGCUUAACCUUACAACACCGAAGGUGUUU
Molecule: ribosomal RNA, 2586 nt
Filed under: Pectobacterium brasiliense
Lineage: Bacteria; Pseudomonadati; Pseudomonadota; Gammaproteobacteria; Enterobacterales; Pectobacteriaceae
Description: bacterial LSU rRNA
Rfam family: Bacterial large subunit ribosomal RNA
Source: RNAcentral